UGCAAAUUACCAUCGCAAACGCACGAGGCUGACGGUCCCCGGCUGCCGCACCUUUUAUGUUCUGGGCCUUGGCAGCUGUCUAGCGAAAAGCCCACCCUGCAGCCCUCACCCCCGCCCUAAACUCCCGUCCGAGGCUUGUCUUUCGUUGACAUCUCUCCAACCUCGUCAGCCAAAGCAAGAAAAGACACACAACUACACAAAGGGCCCGUUAUCCAGGCUCCAGUACAACAGCUAAAUGGGAGGACGACUGAACAGUUUCUGUAGUGACUCUCCACAGUUUUAUAGCGGGCCAGAUUUCAAGCCUGUUGAGUUGAGCAGAUGGCUUGGGACACUGACCGCAGCUGCCUUCUG
Long non-coding RNA from Condylura cristata (star-nosed mole), 351 nucleotides. RefSeq lists it as uncharacterized. The record is from RefSeq and is a predicted model, not a curated record. The transcript is spliced from 3 exons. NCBI's taxonomy places the organism in Eukaryota, Metazoa, Chordata, Mammalia, Eulipotyphla, Talpidae.